Ricinus communis (castor bean) is the source of this 80-nucleotide non-coding RNA. Lineage: Eukaryota; Viridiplantae; Streptophyta; Magnoliopsida; Malpighiales; Euphorbiaceae. The record is from Rfam.
GACGGUUUGGCCGAGUGGUCUAAGGCGCCAGAUUUAGGCUCUGGUCCGAAAGGGCGUGGGUUCAAAUCCUACAGCCGUCA